RNAcentral lists this ribosomal RNA (897 nucleotides) under Hydnobolites sp. RNAcentral's name for it is "partial large subunit ribosomal RNA". It matches the Rfam family "Eukaryotic large subunit ribosomal RNA", at positions 51 to 976 of the family's 3401-position model. The record is from RNAcentral. Lineage: Eukaryota; Fungi; Ascomycota; Pezizomycetes; Pezizales; Pezizaceae.
CGGAGGUAGAGCAACAGGGAUUGCCUCAGUAACGGCGAGUGAAGCGGCAAGAGCUCAGAUUUGAAAGCUAGCAUCUUUGAUGUUCGCAUUGUAAUCUGUAGAGGAGUGUUCGAGCAUAGCUUUGACCCAAGUUCUUUGGAACAAGAUGUCAUGGAGGGUGAGAAUCCCGUUCAUGGUUGUUGUCUUAUGCUUAUGUGAAUCUCCUUCAAUGAGUCGAGUUGUUUGGGAAUGCAGCUCUAAAUGGGUGGUAUAUUUCAUCUAAAGCUAAAUAUCAGCAGGAGACCGAUAGUGCACAAGUAGAGUGAUCGAAAGAUGAAAAGAACUUUGGAAAGAGAGUCAAACAGUACGUGAAAUUGUUGAAAGGGAAGCACUUGCACCCAGACUUGCUUUCAGUUGAUCAACUAUCAUUUUUGAUUGUGCACUUAAUUGUAAGCAGGCCAGUAUCAGUUAGAGUGGUGGGGCAAAGGUGUUGAGAAUGUAGCUCUUUCGGGAGUGUUAUAACUCUUCAUGUCAUAUCAUCUGCUCUGACUGAGGUUCGCACUUUGGUGAGGAUGCUGGCUUAAUGGGUGCAAGUGACCCGUCUUGAAACACGGACCAAGGAGUCUAACAGUUGUGCAAGUGUUUGGGUAUAAAACCCUUAUGCGUAAUGAAAGUAAAUGGAGGUGAGAACCGCAAGGUGCAUCAUCGACCGAUCCUGAUGUCUUCAGAUGGAUUUGAGUAAGAGCAUAGCUGUUGGGACCCGAAAGAUGGUGAACUAUGCCUGAAUAGGGUGAAGCCAGAGGAAACUCUGGUGGAGGCUCGCAGCGGUUCUGACGUGCAAAUCGAUCGUCAAAUUUGGGUAUAGGGGCGAAAGACUAAUCGAACAUCUAGAGCUGUCCGCAGAGAAUUUUCUCUCUC